RNAcentral lists this ribosomal RNA (350 nucleotides) under Philisca tripunctata. RNAcentral describes it as "partial 16S ribosomal RNA". The record is from RNAcentral. Lineage: Eukaryota; Metazoa; Arthropoda; Arachnida; Araneae; Anyphaenidae.
UUGUCUUUCAAUUGAAGACUAGAACAAAAGAUUAAACAAUUUAAUUAAUUUAUUAUUAUUUUAAUUUAUUUUAAAUAUAAAAAAACAUUUAUAAUCAAGGAAGACGACAAGACCCUAUUAAACUUAACUUAAGUUUAACUGGGGUAGUUAAUCAAUUAAUACUUUUAUAAAAAUAUAAAAACAAAAGAUCCAAUAAAAUUGAUUUUAUAAUCAAGUUACUAUAGGGAUAACAGCGUUAUAUAUAUUUAAAGAUCUCAUUUAAAUAAAAAUUACGACCUCGAUGUUGAAUUAAUAUCCUAAUUACUGCAAUAAAUAAAUAAAGGAGCCCGUUCGACUUUUAAAAAAUUACA